GGUGGAGUCCAUGGAGGUUGACCUUACCCCUUCUCCAGUGAGAAGACCUCAGCCCGAGGUGGCAGCCGGCCCCACGCGGAUGUCUCUGAUUAGCCCACCUCAAGAUGGGCGCAUGGGUGAGUUCAGCACACGCUAAACUCUCUCCUCACCAAUGUGGUGGAUUGUUCUCCGGAGCGUCCUCUAGCCCGGGCGGGGGAGGGAGCUGCAUGGUUACUCUAGGGAUGCAGCUGGGGUCACAGGUCAUGGGAGGAAGCAAGCCGUGCAUUGUGCCCCCUGCCCCGGCUUUAACAAGGUGCUACCAGCUUGGCCGGGCCAUUUGCACAGGGAGUGCCCAGCGCCCACUGUCCCUGCUGCCUCUCCUGAAGCCCACAGCUUCCAGCUCUCCCCAGGUGGACGUGACAGGCCGCUGCCUCGGCCCAAGGCAGCGUCUCCUACCGGGGCCUUCAGCAUCUUGGCCUGACACCACAUCAGACACACCUGUCGAAGGCAUUCAGGAUCCCACCGUUGCAGAUCCCCCACAAGGGACCCACACAGACCCCAGCAGCCCAGGCAGCGGGCAGAGCAACGAGAGGAGGCUCCCCUGGCCUCGGUGGCUCCCAGGCGGCAGCGCCCAGGCCGCCCAUCAGCAUCUCCGGCCUGCUGCAUAGGCCGUGCCCAGGCAAGUGUCCAAGGCCCGGCGUGCGUCCAGUGUCUAUACUCGUCUAAGCUAACGGACUCCC
This 719-nucleotide long non-coding RNA is filed under the name Oryctolagus cuniculus (rabbit). Its description in RNAcentral is "lncRNA (ENSOCUG00000033733.1)". The record is from RNAcentral. Lineage: Eukaryota; Metazoa; Chordata; Mammalia; Lagomorpha; Leporidae.